Pyrus x bretschneideri (Chinese white pear) is the source of this 1411-nucleotide RNA transcript. RefSeq lists it as uncharacterized. NCBI's taxonomy places the organism in Eukaryota, Viridiplantae, Streptophyta, Magnoliopsida, Rosales, Rosaceae. The record is from RefSeq and is a predicted model, not a curated record. The transcript is spliced from 4 exons.
CUCCCCCGUCUCCUCCUUUCCCUGUCAUCACACACAACCUACUCUCUCUCUCUCCCCCUAUCGCUCCCUCUCUCCUCCUCCACUUUCUCUCUCUAAAAACGUGAAGCACUAGCAUACAAGAUUGAUAGAUAGAUAGAUUGAUAUAUAUUAUAUAUAGGUUGUUUUGUAUGUAUAGCCGCCUGGUGGGCUUGAAACUCUGAACGCUUGAGCUCUGCGUGUUGAUCAGGAAUAAUGGCGACAGCGCCAGAGAAGCCGCCGCUGCACAACUUCCCACUCACAUUCUUGAAAUGGGGGACUAAGAACGCCACUGCCAACAACCACAACCGCUACCGCCGACCCGCCUCCGAGCCAAACUCCGAAUCAGACCGAUACAACCACGUCGGGUCCUCCCGCGCCGAUCGCCGCCGAUUAUCGGUGAUCCCGUGCUCGGAAAACAAGCGUCGCAGGAGCGAGGAGCGGGAGAGCGAUCAAGAGGAGGAGGAAGCUGAGGUGCUACUUCAGAAGCCCUGGAAUUUGAGGCCCAGAAGACCUCCGGCGACGGCGUCCUUUCAAAAGGCGAGUGGCCCUAACGCUGCGGCUACCGCAAACCGGGAAGCGCAGGAACCAGAGGGGCCAAACCGGAGUCAGAGCGAAAUGAUGCAGCAGCAGCAGCCGAAGUCGAUGAGGUUGAGGGGUCUGGCGGAGGGGCAGAGUGUGGAGAAGAAGAAGAAGGUGAAGAGCAAGUUCUGGAUCGCUUUGUCGAAGGAGGAGAUUGAAGAGGACGUGUUCGUGAUGACCGGGUCGAGGCCCUCCAGAAGGCCCAAGAAGCGGCCCAAGAAUGUUCAGAAACAACUCGAUAGUAUUUUUCCUGGGUUGUGGUUGGUUGGUAUCACUGCGGAUGCUUAUAAGUCUGCACAUUCUCCAUAGGUAGAUUUGUAUGGUGACCUGAAGAUUGUGAUUUUCUCAAAACUGCGUAAAUGGAAGUUGCUGCUGCACCUGUGGAGUGGAAGCCUCAAUUUUUUGAGGAUGGAAGUCAGCUUUAGCUGCUUCUUCAAGUGUCAAUAAACUGGUACAAAUUAUUCUGCAGAGUGUGACAGGUUUCACAUCAUAACAAUUCCAAACCUUCGGAAUCAAAUGUUUUACUUUGCUGUUGUUCUUUGUGGCUGCAGCCUCACAGGGUGUUUGUUGAUUGUUAAAAUUGAUUAAGUGUUCAUAUUUCUGUGCCAGUAUGUAAUUGCCUUCGUUUCAAAGGUAAUAUGAUCGAAAAGUUAAUCAGGUAGCAAGAUUUUGCAGUAUUUUAAGAACCUUGUUGCUUAAUGUGUGAAUUGUCAGCUUGAACUCUGUUCUGGAAUAACAGGACUUGUUCUCUGAUGAAGAUAAUAGAUCUCGAAAUUUUAUGAUCUUGGGUAACUUGAUCUUUUAUUUCCUUUUC